Molecule: ribosomal RNA, 325 nt
Filed under: uncultured eukaryote
Lineage: Eukaryota
Description: partial 18S ribosomal RNA
Rfam family: Eukaryotic small subunit ribosomal RNA
Source: RNAcentral
CCCUUAGAUGUUCUGGGCCGCACGCGCGCUACACUGAUGCAUUCAACAAGUUCACCUUGGCCGAGAGGCUUGGGCAAUCUUUUGAACAUGCAUCGUGAUAGGGAUAGAUUAUUGCAAUUAUUAAUCUUGAACGAGGAAUUCCUAGUAAACGUAGAUCAUCAAUCUGCAUUGAUUACGUCCCUGCCCUUUGUACACACCGCCCGUCGCUCCUACCGAUUGGGUGUGCUGGUGAAAUGUUCGGAUCGGCCGUUUGUCGCGGUUUCCGCGUCAUGUGGCUGAGAAGUUCAUUAAACCCUCCCACCUAGAGGAAGGAGAAGUCGUAACA